This 253-nucleotide ribosomal RNA is filed under the name uncultured Eubacteriales bacterium. RNAcentral describes it as "uncultured Clostridiales bacterium partial 16S ribosomal RNA". It matches the Rfam family "Bacterial small subunit ribosomal RNA", at positions 524 to 776 of the family's 1533-position model. The record is from RNAcentral. Lineage: Bacteria; Bacillati; Bacillota; Clostridia; Eubacteriales.
UACGUAGGGGACAAGCGUUAUCCGGAUUUACUGGGUGUAAAGGGAGCGUAGACGGCAGCGCAAGUCUGGAGUGAAAUCCCAUGGCUUAACCAUGGAACUGCUUUGGAAACUGUGCAGCUGGAGUGCAGGAGAGGUAAGCGGAAUUCCUAGUGUAGCGGUGAAAUGCGUAGAUAUUAGGAGGAACACCAGUGGCGAAGGCGGCCUGCUGGACGGUGACUGACGCUGAGGCACGAAAGCGUGGGUAUCGAACAGG